UACGUAGGGUCCGAGCGUUGUCCGGAAUUACUGGGCGUAAAGAGCUCGUAGGUGGUUUGUCGCGUUGUUCGUGAAAACUCACAGCUCAACUGUGGGCGUGCGGGCGAUACGGGCAGACUAGAGUACUGCAGGGGAGACUGGAAUUCCUGGUGUAGCGGUGGAAUGCGCAGAUAUCAGGAGGAACACCGGUGGCGAAGGCGGGUCACUGGACUGGUACUGACGCUGAGGCGCGAAAGCGUGGGGAGCAAACAGG
This 253-nucleotide ribosomal RNA is filed under the name uncultured bacterium. Its description in RNAcentral is "partial 16S ribosomal RNA". It matches the Rfam family "Bacterial small subunit ribosomal RNA", at positions 524 to 776 of the family's 1533-position model. The record is from RNAcentral.